GAUGAAGAACGUAGCGAAAUGCGAUAAGUAAUGUGAAUUGCAGAAUUCAGUGAAUCAUCGAAUCUUUGAACGCACAUUGCGCCCCUUGGUAUUCCGAGGGGCAUGCCUGUUCGAGCGUCAUUAUCACCCCUCAAGCUUUGCUUGGUGUUGGGGCCUGCUGUAAUAGGCAGCCCUUAAAAUCAGUGGCGGUGCUUCAAGGCUCUAAGCGUAGUAAUUCUCCUCGCUAUAGUGUCUAGUGGUUGCCAGCCAGAACCCCCCAAUUUUCAUGAUUGACCUCGGAUCAGGUAGGGAUACCCGCUGAACUUUAGCAUAUCAAUAAGCGGAGGA
RNAcentral lists this unclassified non-coding RNA (327 nucleotides) under soil metagenome. RNAcentral describes it as "partial contains 5.8S ribosomal RNA, internal transcribed spacer 2, and large subunit ribosomal RNA". The stretch from base 1 to 120 matches the Rfam family "5.8S ribosomal RNA", at positions 35 to 154 of the family's 154-position model. The record is from RNAcentral.